Molecule: long non-coding RNA, 251 nt
Filed under: Cyanistes caeruleus (blue tit)
Lineage: Eukaryota; Metazoa; Chordata; Aves; Passeriformes; Paridae
Description: lncRNA (ENSCCEG00000002449.1)
Source: RNAcentral
UGUAAGAGGUGACAUUUAAAGUUGUGUAUUCCCAGCUUUUGUAAUUACAGGUUCCCACAUCAGGAGGAUGCAUGGAAAAAGCACACAGAUAAGGCAUCGUUUGCCCAAACAUGUCAUCAGAAACUGACUUCCUAAAGCUCUUUUUCAGUAGGGGACUUUCAAGGCCUGGUCAGCCUGUCACUGGUACUACUGAAGACAGCAAGAAUCUCGCUGCAGAUUUCAGGGAGAGCAAGAGCAGACCCUGGGAGUGA